RNAcentral lists this unclassified non-coding RNA (340 nucleotides) under soil metagenome. RNAcentral describes it as "partial contains 5.8S ribosomal RNA, internal transcribed spacer 2, and large subunit ribosomal RNA". The stretch from base 1 to 120 matches the Rfam family "5.8S ribosomal RNA", at positions 35 to 154 of the family's 154-position model. The record is from RNAcentral.
GAUGAAGAACGUAGCGAAACGCGAUAGUUAAUGUGAAUUGCAGAAUUCAGUGAAUCAUCGAGUCUUUGAACGCACAUUGCGCCCAUUGGUAUUCCGUUGGGCAUGUCUGUUUGAGCGUCAUUACAACAGUUCAGCGUAAGCUGGUUAUGAGUUCUGUUUUUUUAAACAAAAAACAGGCUUUAAAAUGUAUGUUCUGCAGGUCGCUUUGCUAAACCCUAAACAUUAAAUACUGUUCUAGUGAUGCAUUUGCGACUCUGCCUGAAAAAAAACUUUUGUUAAAGUUUGACCUCAGAUCAGACAAGGAUACCCGCUGAACUUAAGCAUAUCAAUAAGCGGAGGA